GUCUCGUAGUGACCUGCGGAGGGAUCAUUACAGAGACUCUGCCCUUUGGGUAGACCUCCCACCCUGUGUCGUUAUACCUUUGUUGCUUUGGCGGGCCGCGGGGCCCCGGCCCCGCCCCUGGCUCCGGCUAGGGCGCGCCCGCCAGAGGACCUCAAAACCUGAAUGUUAGUGUCGUCUGAGUACUAUAUAAUAGUUAAAACUUUCAACAACGGAUCUCUUGGUUCUGGCAUCGAUGAAGAACGCAGCGAAAUGCGAUAAGUAAUGUGAAUUGCAGAAUUCAGUGAAUCAUCGAAUCUUUGAACGCACAUUGCGCCCCUUGGUAUUCCGGGGGGCAUGCCUGUUCGAGCGUCAUUACAACCCUCAAGCUCUGCUUGGUCUUGGGCGUCACCGGUCCCGGUGUGCCUUAAAAUCAGUGGCGGCGCCAUCUGGCUCUAAGCGUAGUACAUACUCUCGCUACAGACGUCCGGUGGAUGCUGGCCAGCAACCCCCAACUUAUCAAGGUUGACCUCGGAUCAGGUAGGGAUACCCGCUGAACUUAAGCAUAUCAAA
This 549-nucleotide ribosomal RNA is filed under the name Pezicula ericae. Its description in RNAcentral is "eukaryotic LSU rRNA". The stretch from base 198 to 351 matches the Rfam family "5.8S ribosomal RNA". Lineage: Eukaryota; Fungi; Ascomycota; Leotiomycetes; Helotiales; Dermateaceae. The record is from RNAcentral.